RNAcentral lists this long non-coding RNA (250 nucleotides) under Lathyrus oleraceus (garden pea). Its description in RNAcentral is "Pisum sativum (pea) long non-coding RNA (PSAT_LNC006572)". Lineage: Eukaryota; Viridiplantae; Streptophyta; Magnoliopsida; Fabales; Fabaceae. The record is from RNAcentral.
GGAUAAUCGAUUACCCUGUAUGUUUUUGCCUGAAUCACAAAUUUUCAUUCUGUGUAACCGAUUACUCCAUUUUGGAUAAUCGAUUACCCUGCACUUUUUUAUUUUCCUCACGUAUUUUUAAUCUGUGUAACCGAUUACCCUAUUUAGAGUAAUCUACUACCACUGUUCUGUCCAGAUUUUUUUUUAUUUUUAAAUACACGUGAGUUGUUGCAUUGUUUGUGUUAAGUGCUUAUUUCUUGUCCUUUUACUU